UGGCUUUAACGGGUAACGGAGGAUUAGGGUUCGAUUCCGGAGAGGGAGCCUGAGAAACGGCUACCACAUCUAAGGAAGGCAGCAGGCGCGUAAAUUACCCAAUCGCGACUCGCGGAGGUAGUGACAAGAAAUAACGGACCGAAGCCUAUGUUUCGGGAUUGCAAUGAGUAGAAUUUAAACCCCUUUACGAGGAUCAAUUGGAGGGCAAGUCUGGUGCCAGCAGCCGCGGUAAUUCCAGCUCCAAUAGCGUAUAUUAAAGUUGUUGCAGUUAAAAAGCUCGUAGUUGGACUUCUGGGAGGAUGCCAAUGUCCGCUCGUUAGCGUGUGCAGCGGCGUCCUUCCAUCCUUCUGUUAACGUUUCUUGGUAUUCACUUACUGGUUUCGGGCUCAGAUAUUUUACCUUGAGAAAAUUAGAGUGUUUCAGGCAGGCUUGCGCCGGAAUACAUUAGCAUGGAAUAAUAGAAUAGGACUUUAGUCUCCUUUGUUGGUUUGAGGGACUGAAGUAAUGAUUAAUAGGGAUAGUUGGGGGCAUUAGUAUUUAAUUGUCAGAGGUGAAAUUCUCGGAUUUGUUAAAGACUAACUUAUGCGAAAG
Molecule: ribosomal RNA, 591 nt
Filed under: uncultured ciliate
Lineage: Eukaryota; Ciliophora
Description: SSU rRNA
Rfam family: Eukaryotic small subunit ribosomal RNA
Source: RNAcentral